Long non-coding RNA from Asterias rubens (European starfish), 121 nucleotides. RefSeq lists it as uncharacterized. The transcript is spliced from 2 exons. The record is from RefSeq and is a predicted model, not a curated record. NCBI's taxonomy places the organism in Eukaryota, Metazoa, Echinodermata, Asteroidea, Forcipulatida, Asteriidae.
CUGCAAACAAAGGCCGGAUGAAUGCUUCUCAAACUUGGCAAUCUUGAGGCACCUUGUUCUGGACCACCAUUAGAGUUGGCACGACAUCACAGGAAUGACAUGUACACCAGGGCAGCAAGAU